UACGGAAGGCAGCAGGGGGAAGUAAUUGUCACAAUAGGGCGGCAAGACCUCGAUGCAGCCACUGCCGCCGUGUAUGAAGAAAGGCCUUCGGGUUGUAAAGUACUUUCAGUCGUGAGGAAGGUGUUAAGGUUAAUAACCUUAGCAAUUGACGUUAGCGACAGAAGAAGCACCGGCUAACUCCGUGCCAGCAGCCGCGGUAAUACGGAGGGUGCGAGCGUUAAUCGGAAUUACUGGGCGUAAAGGGCACGCAGGCGGUUAAUUAAGUUGGAUGUGAAAUCCCCUGGGCUUAACCUGGGAAUGGCAUUCAAGACUGGUUAGCUAGAGUCUUGUAGAGGGGGUAGAAUUCCAUGUGUAGCGGUGAAAUGCGUAGAGAUGUGGAGGAAUACCGGUGGCGAAGGCGGCCCCUGGGACAAAGACUGACGCUCAGUGUGCGAAAGCGUUGGGGAGCAAACGAGGAUUAGAUA
This 464-nucleotide ribosomal RNA is filed under the name uncultured bacterium. Its description in RNAcentral is "bacterial SSU rRNA". It matches the Rfam family "Bacterial small subunit ribosomal RNA", at positions 340 to 784 of the family's 1533-position model. The record is from RNAcentral.